This is a long non-coding RNA of Sardina pilchardus (European sardine), 302 nucleotides long. RefSeq lists it as uncharacterized. The transcript is spliced from 3 exons. Lineage: Eukaryota; Metazoa; Chordata; Actinopteri; Clupeiformes; Clupeidae. The record is from RefSeq and is a predicted model, not a curated record.
GAGGGGAUGGGGCGGGUCACACGUGCCAACACCUAGCCACCAGCAGUGCCUCGGACACAAGGAGGGAAACCAUGACUGCAGGCACAUUAUCAAGAGCCUCUCCAUGUCCGCACAAGAUGUAAACGGUCUCGCCGUCUUCACGUUACUUGGUCAAGUGGAGCUCAUUGACGGGACCUGUACCAGGAGAGGCCUAGUCAUCGACUUCCAUGGCUUCUGUGGAGAGGUGAGGAGCUUGAGGCACCAGCUGAACAAACAGACGAUCUCUUCUCCACAUGAGGAACUAAAGCAGUGGAGAGAAUGAA